This 429-nucleotide ribosomal RNA is filed under the name uncultured bacterium. RNAcentral's name for it is "bacterial SSU rRNA". It matches the Rfam family "Bacterial small subunit ribosomal RNA", at positions 966 to 1395 of the family's 1533-position model. The record is from RNAcentral.
AACCUUACCCAGGUCUUGACUCCCUUUGACCACCCCUAGAGAUAGGGCUUUCCUUUCGGGGACAAAGUGACAGGUGGUGCAUGGUUGUCGUCAGCUCGUGUCGUGAGAUGUUGGGUUAAGUCCCGCAACGAGCGCAACCCCUAUUAUUAGUUGCCAGCAUUUAGUUGGGCACUCUAAUGAGACUGCCGGUGACAAACCGGAGGAAGGUGGGGAUGACGUCAAAUCAGCAUGCCCCUUAUGACUUGGGCUACACACGUGCUACAAUGGAUGGUACAACGAGUCGCAAACCCGAGAGGGCAAGCAAAUCUCUUAAAGCCAUUCUCAGUUCGGAUUGCAGGCUGCAACUCGCCUGCAUGAAGCCGGAAUCGCUAGUAAUCGUGGAUCAGCACGCCACGGUGAAUACGUUCCCGGGUCUUGUACACACCGCCU